Molecule: ribosomal RNA, 440 nt
Filed under: uncultured bacterium
Lineage: Bacteria
Description: partial 16S ribosomal RNA
Rfam family: Bacterial small subunit ribosomal RNA
Source: RNAcentral
CCUACGGGUGGCUGCAGUCGAGAAUCAUUCACAAUGGGGGAAACCCUGAUGCAGCGACGCCGCGUGAGUGAAGAAGUAAUUCGUUAUGUAAAGCUCUAUCAGCAGGGGAGCAAAUGACGGUACCUGAGUAAGAAGCCCCGGCUAAAUACGUGCCAGCAGCCGCGGUAAUACGUAGGGGGCAAGCGUUAUCCGGAUUUACUGGGUGUAAAGGGGGCGUAGUCGGGAGUGCAAGUCUGGAGUGAAAGGCGGGGGCUCAACCCCCGGACUGCUGUGGAAACUGUACGGCUGGAGUGCAGGAGAGGUAAGUGGAAUUCGUGGUGUAGCGGUGAAAUGCGUAGAUAUUAGGAGGAACACCAGUGGCGAAGGCGGCUUACUGGACUGUAACUGACGUUGAGGCUCGAAAGCGUGGGGAGCAAACAGGAUUAGAUACCCGUGUAGUC